This 497-nucleotide ribosomal RNA is filed under the name uncultured bacterium. RNAcentral describes it as "partial 16S ribosomal RNA". It matches the Rfam family "Bacterial small subunit ribosomal RNA", at positions 28 to 507 of the family's 1533-position model. The record is from RNAcentral.
GACGAACGCUGGCGGCGUGCCUAAUACAUGCAAGUAGAACGCUGAAGAGAGGAGCUUACUCUUCUUGGAUGAGUUGCGAACGGGUGAGUAACGCGUAGGUAACCUGCCUUGUAGCGGGGGAUAACUAUUGGAAACGAUAGCUAAUACCGCAUAACAAUGGAUGACACAUGUCAUUUAUUUGAAAGGGGCAAUUGCUCCACUACAAGAUGGACCUGCGUUGUAUUAGCUAGUAGGUGAGGUAAUGGCUCACCUAGGCGACGAUACAUAGCCGACCUGAGAGGGUGAUCGGCCACACUGGGACUGAGACACGGCCCAGACUCCUACGGGAGGCAGCAGUAGGGAAUCUUCGGCAAGGGGGGCAACCCUGACCGAGCAACGCCGCGUGAGUGAAGAAGGUUGUCGGAUCGUAAAGCUCUGUUGUAAGUCAAGAACGGGUGUGAGAGUGGAAAGUUCACACUGUGACGGUAGCUUACCAGAAAGGGACGGCUAACUACGUG